GAUGAACGCUAGUACAGGCUUAACACAUGCAAGUCGAGGGGAAACGGGAGAAUAGCUUUGCUAUUCUUUGUCGUCGACCGGCGCACGGGUGAGUAACGCGUAUCCAACCUUCCCAUAACUAAGGAAUACCCCGUAGAAAUGCGGCCUAAUUCCUUAUGGCCUCUUACGCUGACAUCGGAAUAAGAGUAAAGAUUUAUCGGUUAUGGAUGGGGAUGCGUCUGAUUAGCUUGCUGGCGGGGUAACGGCCCACCAGGGCAUCGAUCAGUAGGGGUUCUGAGAGGAAGGUCCCCCACAUUGGAACUGAGACACGGUCCAAACUCCUACGGGAGGCAGCAGUGAGGAAUAUUGGUCAAUGGGCGUAAGCCUGAACCAGCCAAGUAGCGUGCAGGAUGACGGCCCUAUGGGUUGUAAACUGCUUUUUAAGGUGAAUAAAGAGGGGCACGUGUGCCCUGUUGCAUGUAGC
Molecule: ribosomal RNA, 463 nt
Filed under: Prevotella sp. oral taxon 300
Lineage: Bacteria; Pseudomonadati; Bacteroidota; Bacteroidia; Bacteroidales; Prevotellaceae
Description: bacterial SSU rRNA
Rfam family: Bacterial small subunit ribosomal RNA
Source: RNAcentral